CCUACGGGGGGCAGCAGUAGGGAAUCUUCCGCAAUGGACGAAAGUCUGACGGAGCAACGCCGCGUGAGCGAAGAAGGUCUUCGGAUCGUAAAGCUCUGUUGUCGGGGAAGAACAAGUACGGCAGGAAAUGGCCGUACCUUGACGGUACCCGACGAGAAAGCCCCGGCUAACUAUUUGCCGGGAGCCGCGGUAAUACGUAGGUGGCAAGCGUUGUCCGGAUUUAUUGGGCGUAAAGCGCACGCAGGCGGUCCUUUAAGUCUGAUGUGAAAUCUUGCGGGUCAACCGCAAGCGGUCAUUGGAAACUGGGGGACUUGGGUGCAGAAGAGGAGAGCGGAAAUGCACGUGUAGGUGUGAAAUGCGUAGAGAUGUGGAGGAACACCAGUGGCGAGGUCGGCUUUCUGGUCUGUAACUGACGCUGAGGCGCGAAAGCGUGGGGAGCAAACAGGCUUAGAUACCCGUGUGGAC
RNAcentral lists this ribosomal RNA (465 nucleotides) under uncultured bacterium. RNAcentral describes it as "bacterial SSU rRNA". It matches the Rfam family "Bacterial small subunit ribosomal RNA", at positions 338 to 795 of the family's 1533-position model. The record is from RNAcentral.